Molecule: ribosomal RNA, 253 nt
Filed under: uncultured bacterium
Lineage: Bacteria
Description: partial 16S ribosomal RNA
Rfam family: Bacterial small subunit ribosomal RNA
Source: RNAcentral
UACGAAGGGUGCAAGCGUUACUCGGAAUUACUGGGCGUAAAGCGUGCGUAGGUGGUUCGUUAAGUCUGAUGUGAAAGCCCUGGGCUCAACCUGGGAAUGGCAUUGGAAACUGGCGACCUAGAGUGCGGUAGAGGGUAGUGGAAUUCCCGGUGUAGCAGUGAAAUGCGUAGAGAUCGGGAGGAACAUCUGUGGCGAAGGCGGCUGCCUGGACCAGCACUGACACUGAGGCACGAAAGCGUGGGGAGCAAACAGG